ACGGACCACUCAGUCAAGUCUUCUUCUUCUUCUUCUCCUUAUGUAGAACAGAUGGGACAAGAGGCAAGAUCUGCAGCAACGUCAAAAUAUCAUAUGGGGAAUCAUCACCGAGCUCGCUUCACCCUCAUCAUCUCCUCCUUCAUCGUCAUCAUGUUUUGGUUGGCAGCAUUACGAUCUACUGUUGCCAUCGCUACGUCAGGGUACUGAUAGAAGAUAAGAUUUUUCCAACUAUAUGAGGGAGAAAAUAUCUGGAAAAUCCUCUAUUCUGUUGAGGGAAAUCCUUUCUCCUAAUCAAUAUAUUUUUUAUUUCUUCAAUAAAAUUUUUUCACUUUUUCAAUAAAACUUUUUCAGUAAUUGUUCUUAUCUUCUAUUAUUUUCAUCAGGUACUAUUCUUACGAGGCGUUUACUAAACCGAAAUCAAACAUUUGCGGCCCUACUUGUUCGGCUCCUGUCCAUCAGCCGAAUCCUCCAUAUCCAAGCAAAAGUCCAUAUAAGCCUCCAGUGAAUCUACCUCCAUGCCGACCAUAAGCCUUCAGUGGGCUUCCCGUGCAACGUUGACGUCGAUCGAGUGUAUGCAUGUUUCUGUUUUCUCAGCUUGCUUCUGUCCGCAGCAACAAAAAUAUUCGAACAGAAUAAAAGUAUCUAUCUUGUCAAGGUUUCUUGGAGUACCAGGGUGUGUUAGAUGUGCUUGUGCCAUCUAAUUCGUUUGUUAUUCUUCUUCUUCUAUGUUGUUCGUGUGUUAGAUAUGCUUGGGCUUACAUCUUCCUUCCUCGCAAUCAACUACGAUACGAUUUCAACAAGGAAAACAAGAGAAUCCUAGAUAGC
RNAcentral lists this long non-coding RNA (825 nucleotides) under Musa acuminata (dwarf banana). RNAcentral's name for it is "long non-coding RNA (MACU_LNC000037)". Lineage: Eukaryota; Viridiplantae; Streptophyta; Magnoliopsida; Zingiberales; Musaceae. The record is from RNAcentral.